UUCAACCUUUCCUCAACUCUAUGAUUCUACUAUUACCAGACUGUUCUCAGCCUCAUGAAGCUAUUCCUUAGGUUCGCAUUCAUCGGCUGGAAUUAUCUUCAUAAUUUUUUCCAAUUUUUGAUCUCCUGGUCAAAAAAAAAAAAAAGGUAAGAAAAUGGUAAGAAAAAAUUAAAAAUUAAAAUUAAAAGUGGUAAGAAAAAUAUUCAAAAUGAAUGGAUUGCCUUCAAAGGAACAAUCAUUUUUAAGAGAAAAACUUUUAAAUAGAUAAUAUUACCCAUCUCUUACUAGUGAAGUGUUAUUCCACUUCUGUUUCCUGAGGAAACAAGGUCUUCCUGGUGCUCCCAACAUGUGCCAUGGGACUCACUGGGACCAGCUCUCUCCCUACAGUCAGAGUUCAAGGUGCUGACUAGUCUUAUUCCAUAAGAGACUCCAGAUCAUUUCUGGGUUUAACACGGAUUUAGCUUGAGUGGCGCAGUUGUGGAGUCAGCUGUCAAUGUCAGUAUGAAUAGAAAGAUCUAUCUGUUAAUGCCAUUACCUGCCCCUCUGGAUGUUGGCCCUCUGCUUUCCUAGGUGCUGUACAAAGACAACAAAUGAACCAUUUCCAUCCCAGCUCUUGGUCAUAUCAACUCUUGGUCAGGCACUGGAACAGGCUGCCCAGGGAAGUGGUUGAGUCAUCGUCCCUGGAGGUGUUCAAGAGAUGUUGAAAUGCUGGACUAGUGGACGUGGUUUAGUGUGAAAAUAUUGGUGGUAUGUGGACAGUUGAACUAGAUGAUCUUGGAGGUCUUUUCCAACCUUGGUGAUUCUAUGAUUCUAUGACUCUCUAGCUAGGGUAAAGACACCAAGCCUGCAGAGGGCUUGUUUUCUUCUGAAUUUGCUGUGGGCACUGAGGUGAGAUGGUUGGGGCUGUAAUUUCUCUCCCAUUUCCUUUUCUCCUCUCGCUUCUAUCUUGUUUAGUGGGCAUGGUGGGGAUGGGUUGAUGGUUGGGCAAGAUGAUCUUAGUGGUCAUUUCCAACCUUAAUGAUUCUAUGAUUCUGUAAUGGAGACCAACCAAUGUUGGCCAAGACCCCAGCUGUCACCUGCCCUCCUGAUGGUGGCAGCAGUGACAUUGCUCUAUGUUUGAGAAGCACUCGCCCAGACUUCUGCCAUGGACUGGAUUGGCAUUCGCUGGGUCGGGAACUGGGUAUUCUCUUUAUCCUUCGUACUUAGAUAACCAUUAUCUCAAAGCACAAUGCAGACUUCAUGAGUGUGCACAGAUUGCUCAGAAUUUACUGCAUGGACUCAUGAAGAAAACAGCUCUUCUUCUCAGAGGGUGGUACCUGUUUGUCACAACAUUUGUGAUAUACAUUCCGUCCGCCACAUCCCAUUUUGCCUUCAGAAGUAAGGCAGCUUCCCUCUGAUGCAGAAACGCACCACAAUUUUCCUAUUUGUCUUUUCUUUUUUCAAACUUGUUUAAGUCUCUAGGAGCCAGUCUUGGCCAUUUAGUUACAAAAUGUGUGCGUGCGUGUGUGUGUUUCCAGUGAGUGAAAAGAAGGGAAAAAACCCACAGGUUUGAGUUUGUACAAUGUUUGCCCCUUUUCCCAGCAGGGAUGGGUUUUGAGAGCCAGGAGACAAAAAGCAUGGCCUCAACAAGCUGAAUUUAAAAAAGAACAUCAUUUUCAUUAUGUAGUCAAUCUCAAUUACAAGCAAAUGUUUUCUCUGUUGAGACUUUUCUCUUUUCAGAGCAUUAUGCAAGCCUCUUUUGUGGGUUGAGAGAAAGGAUCAGUGGUCAAUAGGGAGCAGAGUGUUGUGUACAGUGGAUUUUUGUAUCCUUUAGUCUACUACAUAAUGCGUUUUGUCAGGAGAACAGCCCAACAUCCUGAGCAGAUUUGCUGAAUUAAAGAGCACAGCAGGGAUAGGAAACUUGUUGCUAGGUGACUGACAACUGCUGCAUGUCAGUAUCUCUGCGCCGGAGGUUACUCUUUCCUUUUCUUCCACUCUUCAGUCUUGCCUUUUAAUCUGCAUCUAUAAUUAACUCUCUUAAUACUGCGGAUCCAUUUGUUUCCCUUUGACCGUGCUUCGGAUGGCUCUAUUGCCAUUAUUUCGUCUCGAACAGAGGGAAAACUAUUUAAUUUUUGUGCUUGGCUUGGCGCGGAGAAGUUGGGGGUUUAUGCGGUGCAAUGUCUCAUGUCUGCGCUGCGAUGAGACGGCUCUUAAAAGACAUUUCAGAAGAUAUGGUCUUUGCUAAUCUCAGUGCUCAGUGAAACAUCCCUGUGUUGACCGUUCCCUCUAAAGCCUGUUUGUUUCAGUUCAACUUCAUUGAAACGCGAUUGUUUUUAACUGUUUAGGCUUGGUGACCUUCCAAGCUCUUACACUUGUGUAUUUUGCAAAAUAGAUUUUCUUUGUAUGAGGCUCUUUCUUAAAUGACUGGAAACCCAGGGCUGCAUCUGGCCUAGAUUUGUAGUGGCAGAAGUCAAUUAAGCGACAGUGUUCUCCCCGCUCAUUUUUGCUGUUAUUUUUUUUUGUGCACAGACCAAACCAUGAAGCUUGGCGUUGUUAUGAGGAUGGAUGUGCGCUGAAGAAUCGCAUCGCUGGUUUGCAUCCAUCCGUCCCUCUGGAAAUGUGUUUAAUUACAGUUUUCAUUCAUAGAAUCAUAGAAUGGCUUAGGUUGGAAGGGACCUUCAAGAUCAUCAGGCUCCAACCCCCUGCAUUCCAAGAGGUUACGCAAAAUCCAUGCGAUUAGCAAAUGCACUCAUUGCAGGAGUAUGACCAUGACCAUUUGCUUGUUGUUUUUUAUUAGAAAAUGACUAGAAGAUGUACAUCAACUUUUAUUCCAUGUGCUCUUUAAAAUAACACUUUUUUUCUGCAUUAUACCUGUGUGACAUAUGUGAAAGCUGAAUUCAGAAGUUUGAACGAGUUAAAGCAGCGAUGAAAGCUCUUAUUUUUUCUUGGGGGUUUGUAACAAGGCUACAAUCAUGGAAAAGCAUCAACCUGGGACAGUGUGCUGAAAAUUAGAUGGCAAUUUAAGAAGAAUAGCCAAAUAGAUGUGAGAAGUGCUGCUGGUGAAAACAGACAGCAGUUGUUGCUUCUAGGGGACUAGCACCUGUUCAGCCCAAAAAUGCUGAACUUGGGGAAUUUAAAGAAAGAAUAAUCCCAAAACUAACUAAGUAGCAGAGACAUAUUCACCCAUAACUGUGCUGUGUUGUUUUUCUCCUUCCUGCUAGCAAAGAACAAAACCCUGCCUGGAGGAACGCAUCUCUGAACUGGAGGAGAAGGAGAGGAAAAUUUACAGGUUCCUGUGUCUGGAGCAGCACACGCAGUAAUUCGUAGGGCCAGGAGAGGGCAAUAGACACAGGCAUGGGGAGGUGUUGGUGAAGGGUCAUGGAAAAUUCUGCAGGGGAUGAUCCAGAAGCACGGAGAACCAACAAAUGACCAACUCAAAUGAGUUGAACCCAGGGCUGUCCAACCUAACCAAGGUGUGUCCAUCUUAUUUGCUUUCUUAUCAGCUUCUUGGGAGCUAUAAGAAGAGAUAAAGGCCUUAUUUUACAGCAGUUUGAAAUAGAAUUGCAGCAAUUCCAUCUUUCUCUUGUGUAAACAGAAGCCUGUGCUGAUCCUGAAUGAAACAAUUUUGCCUUAUGCUCUUCAACUUUGAGAACAGUUUGCUCUCUAGGCUUUGUACAAGUCUCGUGUGCUGGGACAGGCAUAGAGAUCUGGCACAGCUGUGGGUGCCCCAUCCCUGGAGGUGCCUGAGGGCAGCUUGAAUGAUGCCCUGGGCAGCCUGUUCUGGUCAGGGGCAACCAGUUGAUGGCAGAGCAGUUGGAACUAGAUGAUCUUUAAGGUUCCUUUCAACCCAAGACAUUCUAUGAUUCUAUUCUAUGGUCUGAGGCAGACUGGAGUGAGAUAUAGGGUCUAAAAUGUAGGACGUCAUUAUAACCUUGUAAUUGUGUGUUGUAGAGACAUUGUUUUGUUGCACUGAUCUUCAGCAUGUCCUAAUUUCUUACAGCAGUAUUUCACCCACAUUUGUGCUGAUUUUGACCAAGUAAAGCAACAUUACUCCUUUCAUGUGAUGCUAUGGAUUAAGUCUCUCUCUUUGUAUGAGGGAAAUAGUCUCUUUGAAGCCACCUGGAAAAGGUAAGCUGCAUUGACUCUACUACCUGGAGGACUGACUGGGCUUUCAAACAUUAGUUUUUGUAGUUUUCAUAGUCACUGAUUGAUUCUGCAAACUUGAUGAUUAAUUUAUAAGCUGCCAGUGACAGGGUUAAGCCCUUGGCAGUCCCCCAGCCUCAAGUUCAUGCUACAUGCACAGGAGCAGGUUCUUGUCUUUUUCUCCCUGACCUGUGAGGGUGAUGGGUGCACUAGUGUUAAGGCAAAGCAGGAAAAGCAGAAACUUCCUGCUAAGUAACUACAAGGCUGUCAUUUUCUGGAGUGCAAGCUCUAACCCCAGAGAAAGCCACAGCUGCAUCACGGAGACCCUUCAUGCUUACCUUCACCACAUCCUGCAGAGGUGCAUUACCAAAGGAAAACAGGCACAAGAGCCUCAUAUGACACCUUUUCUCCCACAUAUCCUCACCUUGGAAGAUGAAAGAAGAUGUUGGGAGAGGAAAAGACAACAUGGACAAGAGAAGAAAAUGGUAGACAGAGGUGACUAGGUGCCUUGGCCUCUCAUCCCCCACUGAUCACUCUCUGGACACAAAAUUUGCACUGCGUGGGGCUGUUUUCCCAAGCGUUACACAUAAAACCUAUAGUCCUACUGACUGUAUCUGUGUUGUCUUGCAGAAGAAAUGGAAUGGAUGAAGCAAGGAGAUCAUGAGAGAAAUAGGAGAUACCUUUCAAAGCCAAAUCUUCUUCAGGAGAGAAGCUCUGGCCGAGCAAUGCCAUGCCAUGAAGUAUGGGCACGUGAAGCAGAACAGUAAGACUGCACCUUCAGCUACUCUGAAGUGAUACCUGCGUACCUGCUGCCCUCCUCUAAGAAGCCUGGUCAGGCUGGAUGGGAGCUGAUGGAACCUGAUGGAGCUGUGGGUGUCCCUGUUCAUUGUGGGGAGUUUGGACCAGAUGACCUUUCAGGACCUCUUCCAACUCAAACAGUUCUAUGAUUCUAUGAUUCCUUGGGUCCAUGGCAUUUCUUGUCCAACCUCUGAAGAACGUGAUGCUCCCUAUUGUGCUCAGCCACCCUGGUUUUAGGCAACAGGCAGAUGCAUGCAGCACAAAUGGUAUUAAUGGGAGCCAUGCGUACAUGUCUCUGAGAGCAGAAUACAGCCUUUGGAUCGUGCUGCUUAGCAAACUCUUACAUAAGGAUUUAACCAUGAGACAUGAGCCAAUGACUGAGGCAAAUUGUGUGGGAUGUGUCUGGGCUUUUGCAAGCCAUGGCUCUUCAGUGAGGUUAGCAAAUGCCUAAAUGGUCCGCACUGGUGUUCCAGCUCAUUGCAUGAGAGCUUCUGAUAAUUGCAGUCAUUGCUUUCUCUUUACUGCCAGAUAAAAGGGCAACCAACAGGACGUACAAAGACCUCUUCCACCUCCUUGCUUUCGUGCUUUGUUAUUUCAUUAUCCUCUGUGAUUAUAUAUCCAUGGAUAACAGGAUAAUGACAGAAUCAUCCUAGAAUGAUCUACGUUGGGAAUGACCUUCAAGACCAUUAAGUGCAACCAUCAACCUGACCUACCAAGAAAAACAUCACAUCCUGAUGGAGAGGCCUGGGAAUCCUCAGCACAAGCCAGUUACUCCUAACUACCUUGCUGCAGUGAGGUCAGUUGACAGCUCAGGCAACAAUUUUCAUUGCAGUGGAGUCCAGGCCAGGACUAUGGGAUUUCUGGUGGAGCUGAUGAAAUCAGCACGUCAUGCAAAACUACUCCAUCUGAAAGUCCAGAAGCCACUAAUGAAGAAUUCUUACCCAAGCACCCAUAUCCUCACUCUUCUUUAUUUACCUCCUACACCCCCUGGAGCUUGAGAUGAGCAAGAAUAUGCCAACAGCUGGCAGUUCUCAGCUUAGGUCUUCAACAUCUAGAGUCAGUGCCUAGCUCCAAAUCCCAAAGUGCUUCUCUGUUUGACUGCUCUUUGGAGCUAAUUCUGACCAUUUUCAAGAGUCUUAAGGGACUUUUUCCGUCAUUAUUGCCAAAUGUGGAUUAUGGGCUGCUUUAUUCCAGCCUCUUCUGAAACAUCCUCAUGUGGGUGGAUUUUCACACGACUUAUGUUGGUGCUUCUGCUUUCACAUAAUGGGUGAUUUAUCAUACAGUCAAAGUUAAAUCAGUGACAUACUUGGAGUAAGAAGGAAUUUUUGCCAUUGAUCUGAUGCACGCAUGCCAAUAAUUUUUGCUUUUACCCAUAGUUUGGGGGUAAAAUCUUCCCAGUGCCAACCAAGUUUGCACAGAAACACACUGAAGGUAUUAAUUCAGCGCACUGAAGGUGCCAGAUUUGCUAUUCAUGUCAGAGACUGUGUGAUGCAGAGGCCAGAAAUGAUGACACAUGGGGACUCAUGUGUGCUGUGCUGUGAAUCCCUGAGCCUCUCUCAGCAGGGCUGCGCAGUGGUGAAAUCAGGAACCUUCCUCAAGUCUUUGUCCCUGUCUAUCUACAAAUUCUUCUAAAGAAUAAGAAUGCAAACAUGCAUGUUUCUGCCCACUGUUUGGUCUUGUCUCUUCACCCCAUGGAUUCAGGCAUUGCUUUUUUCACACUCAACCUAAACUCUCCUAAAUUUUGCAGCAAUUUGUCGCAUAUUUCUUUUAUAAGGCAAUUUUCUGUAUUUUCUUAAAUCAGAUAACUGUAUAUAUUUUGUUUUCAGAGUGAAUAUGAAUUUCAUUAUACUUUGAUUAUUGUUUAAUAGCACUGGGGACAGGAUGUUUGGAGGCAGUCUGAAUUUUGAUUCAAAACGUCAGGUCGUUUUCUGAAUAGCUCCUUCAACUGAAGACCUUUCCCAUCAGCUCUUUCAUAAAGAGAAAGGAGACAAAUGGGAAGAUGAGCUGACUAGGAAAGAAAGAGAUAUUCCUUCCCUUGACCUAGAAGCCUGACAGGACUCUUUUUCAAUGCAGUGUAUUAUGUAGUGGUUUUCACUAUUAUGCAUAUAUUUAGCAACCAUCGCUCACCAAUCUGCAAAGGGAAUGAGGUGAUGAAAGAUGGAAUUCAAGAGAGGAAAGAAACACAGAUGUUUUAUCUCUGCUUUUAUACUGCAAAGACUGUACUGGAAUAUACACAAGAAUAUAUCCCCAUUGUAAUUUGGGAUGCUGUAGCUUUUAAUACCUUUGGCAUCUCUCUGUUAAUAUACUUCCUGGUGACAUUUCUGAACAAAAAGACCACUUCAAACUGCUGCCAGGACCAAUCAAAAAGCAGCUGCAAUUACAAGCAGAGGCAAAAAGAUGCACCAUGGUGCAAUGAGGAAUGUAGGGCCUAUCUGAGAACAUAGACCAACCCAGUCCUCAUCCUCCAGCUUGAGAGCAUGUACUGAGAAAGAUAUCCAUGAACUGGAUUUUGAGCAUCUUUUAAGGCAAGUUAUUUCUGCUGAGGUCCUACUCUGCACACAGUACGCAUCCUGACUUGCAAAUAAUUUUCACCUGUAAAUUUUGGCAUCUUGAGUGCUUGGUACCUGCUAGUGUGUAGAUUCCCUAUUUUAAAGACCUGCUGGGGGAAGGUACCUAUAAAUGCUGAUGUGUCAUCAGGUACUCUGAGCAUUCUUUGUUUCCUUGCCAUUAUCCCCUGGCAGAUUAUCCAUGUCUUUUGGACUCCGUAAGGACAAAAGAAGACAAGGGAACUUUGAUUCCAGAAGAAGAAAUAAAACCCUGAAUCAGGGCACCAAGGUAAGCAACAGAAGGAAGUGCACAUUUGAAAGGCAGAGUCGCAUGAGACAGGAGAUAAAAAGAGAAGGGUAUGAGGGUAAUUGGAAGACCUUAUGCUUAUAGUUGAUGUAUGUUUAUAAACUAGGACAGUCCAUCUGAGUAAACAGACAAGCUAAGAAGACAUAGAGCCAAGAGAAGAUAUAAUAUUCAAUAUACAAUAUAUUUACUUAAUACAUGGUUGGUGAGGCAUCUCAGAGCAGAUCUCAAUUCCUUCAUAUGUUCAGAUAUUUGGUGUUAUUUUUGAGGUUUAUUGUGAUGUCUUUGUUUCACCUCCCAUCUGGUCAAAGGCAGCUCACUGUGAGUACUGGGUGCUUGUUACUGGAGGAUUAUUCACUGGAUGAAACUGAGCAUACUGUGAGUGUUCAGUCAUUGGUCAUCAUCCCUCUUCUUCAGUCCUGACCUGCUGGAGUCCUUCUGCAAUUGCAGCACAAGUCCGUAGGAAAGAGACCUUGAAAUAGUUUCUGUGGGCAUGGAAGACCUGGUACAGAGUGCAAAUGCAGAGCCGGUGACCAAACACAAGAGUUAGCCUUCAAACAAGAAAACUCAGAGAAGAACUCAAGUAGGGCCACUUGAAAUGUCAGCAUUAUAUAUAUAUGCUUUACAUAUAUAUAUAUAUAUAUCCCUCUUCAUUAUUUUCAGCACUGCACGUGUCACAGCAGCUGAACAUUUUGGUGAUGCACUGGCACCGGCUGCCCAGGGAGUGGUAGAGUCACUGUUUCUGGAGGUGUUCAAGAACUGUGGAGAUGUGGCACCAAGGGACACAGUUGGUGGGCAUGGUUGGAACGGGCUGACGUCACAGAUCUUAGAGAUCUUUUCCAACCUUGGUGAUUCUAUGGUUCUGUGAUUCUAUUUCUGUGAAUGCUUCCAUCAACGGAAUAAACCAAGUACUUAUCAGGUGCUCACUAUGGAUUUUCUCUUCAUUCUUGCAAUGCUCAGCCAUGGAGGGGAGAGUAAAAGCCUCCAGUUCAUGGAGAGUCUGCACUGGUACCAGGCUUCCCUACAUCCACAUUGCUUCGGGAAGGAAGAGCCUGACACUGAAGUGAGCACACAGGAGGAAACGUGUUGCUGUUACUUUGUGCACAUGAGCCCGUGCUUGCACAUUUUCUGCUUACAGAGAUAACUCUUGCUGCUUGUGAAUGCUUCUGCAGUCAGGGCGAAUGAGUGGCACUUACACCACGCUGUGGGCAAGAGGAACAGAGCUGGAACGCAGUUUGUCCUUGCUUUCCAAGGCUUUGAGAAAGUAUCAGCAAAUAACACAAGCAGACUCGGGUUAUUAUGAAUUUAUUUCACGUCGUGCACUUAUUUUGUAAUAUAACAAAUCGUAUAAGCACUUUAGGAGAGCUCUGUCAAUCAGCUUGUUGAAAUCAGCUGGUAGCAGCUAUGAGCAUCCCGAAGCUGCCUCCCUGCAGGUCGCUGUGCGUUCCAUCCCUCCAUUGCUGGAGAACAGGUGAUGGCAGCACAUGAUCCUGUAUUUUUCAUACACGCCGUGCACAUCUGUGUCACGCUGUGUAUAACGUAAUACAAAUGGAAUUGACAGGGAUUAAGGUUUUGUUUCUGCUCCCACUAAUAAAUGCCACAAUCCCCCCCGACUUUGCUGAAACAGAGUCAGGCCUGAAAUGACCCACCACUGCCAUUUGCAAGGAUCCUCCCAAACACAAGAUGCUUCGGGUACGACACACAGAACCAUAUGGAUGACCUUCUUUCUGCCUCCCACAACAGCUGCCAGAAGCUGUAACGCUGACUCCAGUAGUGACAACAAAAAUAAGCCCAGAAGAGAGGGUAUUUACCACAGGAAAAAUAAGGCCAGCUUCCCAGGCCACUCACCUGGCCAAAUGCUGUUGGCUGCUAUGCCUUGAUGGCUUGCACACACACCGCCGUGCAAGGAUAUAAUGAGCCAUGCUGGAUGCCAGCCUGCCUACUGCUCUGCCCUGUGCAGCUGUGCCACGGAGCUCCCCUGCUCCUCCCCAACCCAGAUCCGGGAGCUCUGGAGCAUGCAGACAUUGGUUAAUAUUACAUACAGCCCUACACACGGUCUGGGGGUAAGAAGGAAUUAAUGCAUUGUAUCUGUGCACUAAUCGCCAGUCUUUGUUUGAUAUCAAAGAUUUUAUCGUGACUUCUAUGAUUCUGUGACUUGCUGUUUGCCUCCCUUCCCCUCAACAGAUUUGCUCUUUCAUCAUCUUUCUCAGCUGACAUACACUGGGAAGGACAUUCAGCACUUUGAAAGCUGCUGUUUUUCAGGUUUUAUAAAUUUCUCCCAGCUGAAGUUCUCGAUGACAACUCUGCUCAGAGCGUGGCUUGUCAGUAGCACUGCUCUAGUGGAAAUGGCCCAGUUGGAAUGUGGUGAGCGAUGCCUUCCUGAGACAUCCUAACAAAACCCAGCCAGAGAGAGGAACUCUGAUUUAUUCCCUAAAACCAUAAUUUCCAAAGGCUGAGUAUUUCUUUUAAGGACUUUUCCCCCUCUGCAAAUGCUACGAAACAAGCAGAGGGGGAGAAAAAUCUGAAAAAAAUAAUUUUUUUUGGCUGAUAUUUUCUUUUAAAUGAGCCCUACAUGCUCAGUGGAGCAGAGUGACUGGUACUGAGAUCCUAAGCAGCCUUAACCCCCAUUGGCUCCGGAGGAAACCAACGUGCUCAGCACUGGUGGGAAGCACUCAGCAUUUAUGAUCCAGCCCACCACCGUCUGCUCAGCCUUUUUAAACUGUAAAACAUUUAAAGG
Molecule: long non-coding RNA, 10507 nt
Organism: Numida meleagris (helmeted guineafowl)
Lineage: Eukaryota; Metazoa; Chordata; Aves; Galliformes; Numididae
Exons: 3
Source: RefSeq, a predicted model, not a curated record